This 864-nucleotide ribosomal RNA is filed under the name uncultured bacterium. RNAcentral's name for it is "bacterial SSU rRNA". It matches the Rfam family "Bacterial small subunit ribosomal RNA", at positions 22 to 906 of the family's 1533-position model. The record is from RNAcentral.
GCUCAGGACGAACGCGGGCGGCGUGCCUAACACAUGCAAGUCGAGCGAUGAAGCCCUUCGGGGUGGAUUAGCGGCGGACGGGUGAGUAACACGUGGGUAACCUGCCUCAAAGAGGGGGAUAGCCUCCCGAAAGGGAGAUUAAUACCGCAUAAUAUUAGUUUUUCGCAUGAAGAACUAAUUAAAGGAGUAAUCCGCUUUGAGAUGGACCCGCGGCGCAUUAGCUAGUUGGUGAGGUAAAGGCUCACCAAGGCGACGAUGCGUAGCCGACCUGAGAGGGUGAUCGGCCACAUUGGAACUGAGACACGGUCCAGACUCCUACGGGAGGCAGCAGUGGGGAAUAUUGCACAAUGGGCGAAAGCCUGAUGCAGCAACGCCGCGUGAGUGAUGAAGGCCUUCGGGUUGUAAAGCUCUGUCUUUGGGGACGAUAAUGACGGUACCCAAGGAGGAAGCCACGGCUAACUACGUGCCAGCAGCCGCGGUAAUACGUAGGUGGCGAGCGUUGUCCGGAUUUACUGGGCGUAAAGGAUGCGUAGGUGGAUGUUUAAGUCAGAUGUGAAAUACCCGAGCUUAACUUGGGUGCUGCAUUUGAAACUGGACAUCUAGAGUGCAGGAGAGGUAAGUGGAAUUCCUAGUGUAGCGGUGAAAUGCGUAGAGAUUAGGAAGAACACCAGUGGCGAAGGCGACUUACUGGACUGUAACUGACACUGAGGCAUGAAAGCGUGGGUAGCAAACAGGAUUAGAUACCCUGGUAGUCCACGCCGUAAACGAUGAGUACUAGGUGUAGGGGGGUCCAACCUUCUGUGCCGCAGUUAACACAAUAAGUACUCCGCCUGGGAAGUACGAUCGCAAGAUUAAAACUCAAAG